UACGGAGGAUGCAAGCGUUAUCCGGAUUUAUUGGGUUUAAAGGGUGCGUAGGCGGUUGGAUAAGUCAGCGGUGAAAGUUUUCUGCUUAACAGGAAAAAUGCCGUUGAUACUGUCUGGCUAGAAUAUGGUUGCUGUGAGUGGAAUGUGUGGUGUAGCGGUGAAAUGCUUAGAUAUCACACAGAAUAUCGAUUGCGAAGGCAGCUCACAAAGCCAUUAUUGACGCUGAGGCACGAAAGUGUGGGGAUCAAACAGG
RNAcentral lists this ribosomal RNA (253 nucleotides) under uncultured bacterium. Its description in RNAcentral is "partial 16S ribosomal RNA". It matches the Rfam family "Bacterial small subunit ribosomal RNA", at positions 524 to 776 of the family's 1533-position model. The record is from RNAcentral.